RNAcentral lists this ribosomal RNA (379 nucleotides) under uncultured bacterium. Its description in RNAcentral is "bacterial SSU rRNA". It matches the Rfam family "Bacterial small subunit ribosomal RNA", at positions 28 to 392 of the family's 1533-position model. The record is from RNAcentral.
GACGAACGCUGGCGGCGUGCUUAACACAUGCAAGUCGAACGAGAAUCUACUGAAAGAGUUUUCGGACAAUGGAUGUAGAGGAAAGUGGCGGACGGGUGAGUAACGCGUGAGGAACCUGCCUUGAAGAGGGGGACAACAGUUGGAAACGACUGCUAAUACCGCAUGAUGCAUAAGAGUCGCAUGGCUUUAUGCCAAAGAUUUAUCGCUUCAAGAUGGCCUCGCGUCUGAUUAGCUAGUUGGCGGGGUAACGGCCCACCAAGGCGACGAUCAGUAGCCGGACUGAGAGGUUGAACGGCCACAUUGGGACUGAGAUACGGCCCAGACUCCUACGGGAGCAGCAGUGGGGAAUAUUGGGCAAUGGGCGCAAGCCUGACCCAGC